RNAcentral lists this ribosomal RNA (494 nucleotides) under uncultured bacterium. RNAcentral's name for it is "partial 16S ribosomal RNA". It matches the Rfam family "Bacterial small subunit ribosomal RNA", at positions 28 to 507 of the family's 1533-position model. The record is from RNAcentral.
GACGAACGCUGGCGGCGUGCUUAACACAUGCAAGUCGAACGGUGAAGCGCCUUCCUUUUUGGUGAGUGUGGAUGAGUGGCGAACGGGUGAGUAACACGUGAGUAACCUGCCCCCUUCUUCUGGAUAACCGCAUGAAAGUGUGGCUAAUACGGGAUAUUCUGGGUCUGUCGCAUGAUGGGUCUGGGAAAGAUAUUGUUUCGGUGGGGGAUGGGCUCGCGGCCUAUCAGCUUGUUGGUGGGGUGAUGGCCUACCAAGGCGGUGACGGGUAGCCGGCCUGAGAGGGUGGGCGGGCCAACAGGGGCGGGGACACGGCCCAGGCUCCGACGGGGGGCAGCAGGGGGGAAUGUUGCACGAGGGGCGGAAGGCUGAUGCAACGACGCCGCGUGAGGGAUGGAGGCCUUCGGGUUGUGAACCUCUUUCGCCAGUGAAGCAGGCCUGCCUCGUUUGUGGGUGGGUUGACGGUAGCUGGAGAAGAAGCGCCGGCUAACUACGUG